AUGCUUUCCCAGUGCAGAUGUGCAGUAACCCCCCAGGAUGAUCUUCCCAAGUCAGAAUCCACCAAGAAAAGAACACUGAGGGGUCACUUAUUUACAUUGUGGAAAAACCGUAGGAACAUCUGUUCAAGGACUUUGGCUUUCAGAGAAGAAUGAAAUGGAGGAAGCACGAACGAAUACACUUUGUGUCUAAAAACCACUCCACUCAUUUUAACUUGAGAUCACUGAUUAUAAAGAAAAUAGCUGUAUUUACUCAGAGACUUCAACAAGAAAUAGAAUUAUGUAAAAUAAUUGAGCCUUAAUGAAAAAAUAUUUGUAUUAAACGGUGCACUCUCUCCACGUCCAACACACUCUUUAUAAAUCACUCCUCAGAAGCACAGACUGGGUGUCCUAUCUUUCUCCCAUUUCCUUAGUAAGACAGCAUAUGAACUCCCUGAGAAUGAAUACCAAGAGACAGCUGUACAGCCUCAGUUUAACUGUAAGUCCAGUAAUUACAGUAAGACCUUGGAUUUUUAUAACUUCUAGUCUCCUGGGGAUCCAAAGCCCAUUCAGGUAUAUUACCUCGUUGACUCGUUAAGGAGUGCCCACGUCGGUAACACCACCCACUGUAGUUGGAAAAGCGGCUUCCAUAUAAGCUUAAGAAACCUGCAGAGCCUCAGAAAUAAGGCUGGGCUCCACUUAACUCACUUUUUCUUCUAGAACAAUCUAGAAUCAGAAGAUUUUGGGGGGGAGGGGUCUGUGGAUGCGACCUACUGACCUUACACAAGGGGUCACCUGCAUUUUUAUGUCUUAAAGUUGGGGAAGGAGGUGGCCUGUGACUGCAGGUAGUGGCUUCACACCGGAGGUCACUGGCAGGCUUCUUAGAACUGUUCAAUUCCAUUCUACUCCUUGGAGCACCCACCCCUGGGAAAUCUGAGUUUGUUUUUCUCAACAACUUUCAGCAGAUUUGAAUAUUAAUUCUAAAUUCUGAGCUAUUUAUACGCUCACGAUGGUCAUCAGCCACGUAAUUCCUGUGCAGGAGGCCACUCUCCGGCUGCCAAAAGCUCUGUGAA
Molecule: long non-coding RNA, 1049 nt
Filed under: Callithrix jacchus (white-tufted-ear marmoset)
Lineage: Eukaryota; Metazoa; Chordata; Mammalia; Primates; Cebidae
Description: lncRNA (ENSCJAG00000079706.1)
Source: RNAcentral